This 341-nucleotide unclassified non-coding RNA is filed under the name soil metagenome. RNAcentral describes it as "partial contains 5.8S ribosomal RNA, internal transcribed spacer 2, and large subunit ribosomal RNA". The stretch from base 1 to 119 matches the Rfam family "5.8S ribosomal RNA", at positions 35 to 154 of the family's 154-position model. The record is from RNAcentral.
GAUGAAGAACGCAGCGAAAUGCGAUAAGUAGUGUGAAUUGCAGAAUUCAGUGAAUCAUCGAAUCUUUGAACGCACAUUGCGCCCUUGGUAUUCCAAAGGGCAUGCCUGUUCGAGCGUCAUUUGUACCCUCAAGCUUUGCUUGGUGUUGGGCGUCUUGUCUCUAGCUUUGCUGGAGACUCGCCUUAAAGUAAUUGGCAGCCGGCCUACUGGUUUCGGAGCGCAGCACAAGUCGCACUCUCUAUCAGCAAAGGUCUAGCAUCCAUUAAGCCUUUUUUUUCAACUUUUGACCUCGGAUCAGGUAGGGAUACCCGCUGAACUUAAGCAUAUCAAUAAGCGGAGGA